CCUACGGGAGGCAGCAGUGAGGAAUAUUGGUCAAUGGGCGCUAGCCUGAACCAGCCAAGUAGCGUGAAGGAUGACUGCCCUAUGGGUUGUAAACUUCUUUUAUAUGGGAAUAAAGUGCAGUAUGUAUACUGCUUUGCAUGUACCUUAUGAAUAAGGAUCGGCUAACUCCGUGCCAGCAGCCGCGGUAAUACGGAGGAUCCGAGCGUUAUCCGGAUUUAUUGGGGUUAAAGGGAGCGUAGGCGGGUUGUUAAGUUAGUUGUGAAAGUUUGCGGCUCAACCGUGAAAUUGCAGUUGAUACUGGCAGCCUUGAGUGCAGUAGAGGUAGGCGGAAUUCGUGGUGUAGCGGUGAAAUGCUUAGAUAUCACGAAGAACUCCGAUUGCGAAGGCAGCCUGCUGGACUGUAACUGACGCUGAUGCUCGAAAGUGUGGGUAUCAAACAGGAUUAGAUACCCCAGUAGUC
This 460-nucleotide ribosomal RNA is filed under the name uncultured bacterium. RNAcentral's name for it is "partial 16S ribosomal RNA". It matches the Rfam family "Bacterial small subunit ribosomal RNA", at positions 338 to 795 of the family's 1533-position model. The record is from RNAcentral.